GUGCCAGCCGCCGCGGUAAUACGGAGGGUGCAAGCGUUGUCCGGAUUUAUUGGGUUUAAAGGGUGCGUAGGCGGCCCGUUAAGUCAGUGGUGAAAUCCCAGGGCUCAACCCUGGGACUGCCAUUGAUACUGGCGGGCUUGAGUUCGGUCGAGGCGGGCGGAACUGGUGGUGUAGCGGUGAAAUGCAUAGAUACCACCAAGAACCCCGAUUGCGUAGGCAGCUCGCUAGGCCGAAACUGACGCUGAGGCACGAAAGCGUGGGGAGCGAACAGGAUUAGAUACCCCAGUAGUCC
RNAcentral lists this ribosomal RNA (292 nucleotides) under uncultured bacterium. RNAcentral describes it as "partial 16S ribosomal RNA". It matches the Rfam family "Bacterial small subunit ribosomal RNA", at positions 505 to 796 of the family's 1533-position model. The record is from RNAcentral.